GACGAACGCUGGCGGCGUGCUUAACACAUGCAAGUCGAACGGAAAGGCCCUGCUUGCCGGGUGCUCGAGUGGCGAACGGGUGAGUAACACGUGGGUGAUCUGCCCCUUACUUUGGGAUAAGCCUGGGAAACUGGGUCUAAUACUGGAUAGGACCAUGCUGUAGGUGGUGUGGUGGAAAGAUUAGUUUCGGUAAGGGAUGAGCUCGCGGCCUAUCAGCUUGUUGGUGGGGUAAUGGCCUACCAAGGCGUCGACGGGUAGCCGGCCUGAGAGGGUGGACGGCCACAUUGGGACUGAGAGACGGCCCAGACUCCUACGGGAGGCAGCAGUGGGGAAUAUUGCACAAUGGGCGCAAGCCUGAUGCAGCGACGCCGCGUGGGGGAUGACGGCCUUCGGGUUGUAAACUCCUUUCGGCCAUGACGAAGCCCUUGUGGUGACGGUAGUGGUAGAAGAAGCACCGGCUAACUACGUG
This 469-nucleotide ribosomal RNA is filed under the name uncultured bacterium. RNAcentral's name for it is "partial 16S ribosomal RNA". It matches the Rfam family "Bacterial small subunit ribosomal RNA", at positions 28 to 507 of the family's 1533-position model. The record is from RNAcentral.